AAUGGGGGAAACCCUGAUGCAGCAACGCCGCGUGAAGGAAGACGUAUUUCGGUAUGUAAACUUCUAUCAGCAGGGAAGAUAAUGACGGUACCUGACUAAGAAGCCCCGGCUAACUACGUGCCAGCAGCCGCGGUAAUACGUAGGGGGCAAGCGUUAUCCGGAUUUACUGGGUGUAAAGGGAGCGUAGGCGGCGAUGCAAGUCAGAAGUGAAAGCCCGGGGCUCAACCGCGGGACUGCUUUUGAAACUGUGUUGCUAGAUUGCAGGAGAGGUAAGUGGAAUUCCUAGUGUAGCGGUGAAAUGCGUAGAUAUUAGGAGGAACACCAGUGGCGAAGGCGGCUUACUGGACUGUAAAUGACGCUGAGGCUCGAAAGCGUGGGGAGCAAA
This 385-nucleotide ribosomal RNA is filed under the name uncultured bacterium. RNAcentral describes it as "bacterial SSU rRNA". It matches the Rfam family "Bacterial small subunit ribosomal RNA", at positions 370 to 772 of the family's 1533-position model. The record is from RNAcentral.